Long non-coding RNA from Melanotaenia boesemani (Boeseman's rainbowfish), 113 nucleotides. RefSeq lists it as uncharacterized. The record is from RefSeq and is a predicted model, not a curated record. Lineage: Eukaryota; Metazoa; Chordata; Actinopteri; Atheriniformes; Melanotaeniidae. The transcript has 3 exons.
UGUUCAGUUUGAACUUGAUCUUCACCAUGUCUACACGACUAGAUGUGCUGAGUUGCUGCUAUGUGAUUGGCUGGUUAGAUAUUCGUUUUAUUAAUCGAGAAGGUGAACCUAAU